AUUGAACGCUGGCGGCAUGCCUUACACAUGCAAGUCGAACGGCAGCACGGGUGCUUGCACCUGGUGGCGAGUGGCGAACGGGUGAGUAAUACAUCGGAACAUGUCCUGUAGUGGGGGAUAGCCCGGCGAAAGCCGGAUUAAUACCGCAUACGAUCCACGGAUGAAAGCGGGGGACCUUCGGGCCUCGCGCUAUCGGGUUGGCCGAUGGCUGAUUAGCUAGUUGGUGGGGUAAAGGCCUACCAAGGCGACGAUCAGUAGCUGGGCUGAGAGGACGACCAGCCACACUGGGACUGAGACACGGCCCAGACUCCUAAGGGAGGCAGCAGUGGGGAAUUUUGGACAAUGGGCGAAAGCCUGAUCCAGCAAUGCCGCGUGUGUGAAGAAGGCCUUCGGGUUGUAAAGCACUUUUGUCCGGAAAGAAAUCCUUGACUCUAAUACAGUCGGGGGAUGACGGUACCGGAAGAAUAAGCACCGGCUAACUACGUG
Molecule: ribosomal RNA, 486 nt
Filed under: uncultured bacterium
Lineage: Bacteria
Description: partial 16S ribosomal RNA
Rfam family: Bacterial small subunit ribosomal RNA
Source: RNAcentral